Molecule: ribosomal RNA, 163 nt
Filed under: Elatostema morobense
Lineage: Eukaryota; Viridiplantae; Streptophyta; Magnoliopsida; Rosales; Urticaceae
Description: 5.8S ribosomal RNA
Rfam family: 5.8S ribosomal RNA
About the family: 5.8S ribosomal RNA (5.8S rRNA) is a component of the large subunit of the eukaryotic ribosome. It is transcribed by RNA polymerase I as part of the 45S precursor that also contains 18S and 28S rRNA.
Source: RNAcentral
AAAUGACUCUCGGCAACGGAUAUCUUGGCUCUUGCAUCGAUGAAGAACGUAGCAAAAUGCGAUACGUGGUGUGAAUUGCAGAAUUCUGUGAACCAUCGAGUUUUUGAACGCAAGUUGCGCUCAAUGUCAUUUGGCUGAGGGCACGUCUGCCUGGGCGUCACGC